GGCGAACGGGUGAGUAACAACGUGGGUAACCUGCCCAUAAGAGGGGGAGUAACAUCCGGAAACGGGUGCUAAUACCGCAUAGUUUUCUUGAUCGCAUGAUCGGGAAAGGAAAGACGGCCUUUGUGCUGUCGCUUAUGGAUGGACCCGCGGCGUAUUAGUUAGUUGGUGAGGUAACGGCUCACCAAGACGAUGAUACGUAGCCGACCUGAGAGGGUGAUCGGCCACAUUGGGACUGAGACACGGCCCAAACUCCUACGGGAGGCAGCAGUAGGGAAUCUUCCGCAAUGGACGAAAGUCUGACGGAGCAACGCCGCGUGAGUGAAGAAAAGGGUUUUCGGAUCGUAAAACUCUGUUGUCAGAGAAGAACAAGUUGGAGAGUAACUGCUCCAGCCUUGACGGUAUCUGACCAGAAAGCCACGGCUAACUACGUGCCAGCCGCUGC
RNAcentral lists this ribosomal RNA (442 nucleotides) under uncultured bacterium. RNAcentral's name for it is "bacterial SSU rRNA". It matches the Rfam family "Bacterial small subunit ribosomal RNA", at positions 97 to 518 of the family's 1533-position model. The record is from RNAcentral.